UGGGGAAUUUUGCACAAUGGGGGAAACCCUGAUGCAGCAACGCCGCGUGAGUGAAGAAGGCCCUUGGGUUGUAAAGCUCUUUCGGCCGUGAAAAAGGGUGAGCGUGCUCAUACCACGUUCAUUUGAUGGUAGCGGAAGAAGAAGCACCUGCUAACUACGUGCCAGCAGCAGCGGUAAUACGUAGGGUGCAAGCGUUGUUCGGAAUUACUGGGCGUAAAGGGCGCGUAGGCGGGUUUGCAAGUCGUCUGUGAAAUCCCCGGGCUUAACCUGGGAAUGGCAGGCGAAACUGCAGAUCUUGAGUGUUUGAGAGGAUGACAGAAUUGCAGGUGUAGAAGUGAAAUUCGUAGAUAUCUGCAGGAACACCGGAGGCGAAGGCGGUUGUCUGGCAAAACACUGACGC
RNAcentral lists this ribosomal RNA (400 nucleotides) under uncultured bacterium. RNAcentral's name for it is "bacterial SSU rRNA". It matches the Rfam family "Bacterial small subunit ribosomal RNA", at positions 355 to 746 of the family's 1533-position model. The record is from RNAcentral.